Molecule: long non-coding RNA, 368 nt
Organism: Trichoplusia ni (cabbage looper)
Lineage: Eukaryota; Metazoa; Arthropoda; Insecta; Lepidoptera; Noctuidae
Exons: 3
Source: RefSeq, a predicted model, not a curated record
UACUAAGAUUUCGUAGUCCACAGGUGGCUAAUAAAUCAUUCAUUUUUCUCAAACAUUUUGUCAGCAACAGUACUUAGUACCUAGUACUAUUAAUAUCACCUAUGUGAAAUGAAGUAUCGAUCGAGACCUGCGCGUUGCAUUCAGGCCGCGACUAUUUAUAUCCGGGUGCAGCGCCGUCCAUCCCUCAUUCUGACGACAGCCACGGCUGGGGCCGUGCCUCCUCUGGAGUUCUGCUGAUACCAAGACGGAGAGCGACCUCACCUGACACUCUGGAGUACACCUUUCCGAGUGCGGCGGAUCGCCGCCACCUUUGACCAAGGUCUUUCCCGGUCAGCGUACAGCCAUGGUGAUGCAGCACCAGAUCCACC